UGGCACCUACGGGAGGCAGCAGUGGGGGAUAUUGCACAAUGGGGGGAACCCUGAUGCAGCGACGCCGCGUGUGGGAAGACGGUCCUCUGGAUUGUAAACCACUGUCCCCAGGGACGAAAAUGACGGUACCUGGGGAGGAAGCUCCGGCUAACUACGUGCCAGCAGCCGCGGUAAUACGUAGGGAGCGAGCGUUGUCCGGAAUUACUGGGUGUAAAGGGAGCGUAGGCGGGGAUGCAAGUUGGGUGUCCAAACUACCGGCUCAACUGGUAGUCGCACUCAAAACUGCAGCUCUUGAGUGAAGUAGG
This 305-nucleotide ribosomal RNA is filed under the name uncultured bacterium. Its description in RNAcentral is "bacterial SSU rRNA". It matches the Rfam family "Bacterial small subunit ribosomal RNA", at positions 333 to 655 of the family's 1533-position model. The record is from RNAcentral.